Molecule: long non-coding RNA, 363 nt
Organism: Haliotis rubra (blacklip abalone)
Lineage: Eukaryota; Metazoa; Mollusca; Gastropoda; Lepetellida; Haliotidae
Exons: 3
Source: RefSeq, a predicted model, not a curated record
GAUCUGCCCAAUACUGCUGCCGUUUCUUGCCCAGGCGCUGGGAGUGCAGUACCCAUACCCUAUCUGCACAACAGACCCACAAGCCACCGUGGGACCAAAUGAUCCAAGGCUUCCCAAAGUGAUGCCCCGUGAAUACCAAGUACAUAUUGAAGCAGCCAUUAUUGACAAGUUCCAGACAGUAGACGCAGAUGAAUACGUCUCCACUUCGGAAGGUGUUUCUUCAAUGACGAUCAGGCAGGGGGACAACGUAGAGACCAUUAUCCUAAACGCCAACACAAAGGAGAGCUACCAUAUCAUAAAUGACGAGUGCACGGUGUACAACCAGUCGAUGGAUCUGGAUGACAUCAUUUUAGGGGGUCGAUU